Plectropomus leopardus (leopard coralgrouper) is the source of this 431-nucleotide long non-coding RNA. RefSeq lists it as uncharacterized. The record is from RefSeq and is a predicted model, not a curated record. Lineage: Eukaryota; Metazoa; Chordata; Actinopteri; Perciformes; Serranidae.
CCUCCCUCUUGCUUCGUCACAUCCUCUUUCCGUUGCCCUCCUCGCUCAGAGAACCUUCUCCACACGAUGAGAGCCAAGUGGAGGAAGAAGCGUAUGCGCAGGCUGAAGCGUAAAAGGAGAAAGAUGAGGCAGAGGUCAAAGUAAGCCCUCAUCCCCGCCAGCUGUGAUCCUGUCAGAGCCUCUUCAGAUGACUGACGCGUAUGGCUGAAGUGGAGCCUCCAUCAGCUGAACGAAGGCGGAAACCCCGUUUCAGAUGAGGGUGCGUCUCAUGGAGCCUGCUGUGAAUGUCUGACUGGACGAGGCAAAAGACGGUGGACGAUCUCAACAUCUGAACUACAGCUGUGUUGUUCAUGGACCAGAAUACAAUUUGUUUAUCAACAACUGUCUUGUGGUGGUGUAUUGAACAAUAAAUGAACCCUGUUUAAAAAUGA